AGUGAACGCUGGCGGUAGGCCUAACACAUGCAAGUCGAACGGCAGCACAGGAGAGCUUGCUCUCUGGGUGGCGAGUGGCGGACGGGUGAGGAAUACAUCGGAAUCUACUUUUUCGUGGGGGAUAACGUAGGGAAACUUACGCUAAUACCGCAUACGACCUACGGGUGAAAGCAGGGGACCUUCGGGCCUUGCGCGAUUGAAUGAGCCGAUGUCGGAUUAGCUAGUUGGCGGGGUAAAGGCCCACCAAGGCGACGAUCCGUAGCUGGUCUGAGAGGAUGAUCAGCCACACUGGAACUGAGACACGGUCCAGACUCCUACGGGAGGCAGCAGUGGGGAAUAUUGGACAAUGGGCGCAAGCCUGAUCCAGCCAUACCGCGUGGGUGAAGAAGGCCUUCGGGUUGUAAAGCCCUUUUGUUGGGAAAGAAAUCCAGCUGGCUAAUACCCGGUUGGGAUGACGGUACCCAAAGAAUAAGCACCGGCUAACUUCGUGCCUACAGCCGCCGCUG
Molecule: ribosomal RNA, 506 nt
Filed under: uncultured bacterium
Lineage: Bacteria
Description: partial 16S ribosomal RNA
Rfam family: Bacterial small subunit ribosomal RNA
Source: RNAcentral